CACCGUAGGAGGGACGGCGGCCCAUCCACAUACAAUGGUUGUGUCCCUUCAAUUUCUUCAUCAUCAGGCUCAUUCUUCAUCUCAAAUCAUCACUUGAAAUCCUUUGAUUAUUUCUUCCUAUGGCUCAUUCUUCAUCGUCGACCAAGGAUUUCACCUGAAGCCUAGAGGGCAGCUUCUUUUGUCACUAUUUACUUGAAUGCUAUUCUUCUCAUCUUUAUUCUCUUUCUCUCUCUCUCUCUUGUUGUUCCCUGGAUUCGUUAGUUUGCUCUUGGUUCACCGAUUCGUCAGUUUGCUUGUUAUUCCCUUGAAGGAUUGUGAGUUUGGUCACUAUUAUCCUCAUGAAUUUGCUAUUACCUCACAAAUCGCUAUCAAGUUCACUGUUUGGGAUUUUUUUUAUUGUUUCUGCUGGAUUCAAUUAAGGUACAUUAUUUGUUUGUUGUAGCUUUUUUCAAUUGGUAUAUUUGAUUCAACAUUAUUUUCUUUAGAUUUUGUUAGAAAUUUUUAAUGUGGUCCACUAUAAAGCAACCAUUUUGGGUACAUUAUUUUUUAUCAUCAAUUGAUUCGAAGGAGAAAAUUUGAGGGUCCAUUUGAUAGCACAUUUUUUUGUGACUUUGAAGAGGGACCACUAUCACUUUCGCAGUUGUGGAAGCAAAAAUGGCCCACAAUCGAGGGCAAGAGAGCUACAUCUGCAGAAACUUAUGAAGGCAAUACAAGGAUAAUAGCUCAAGGACAGGGUCAAGCAAAGGCAUCUAAUAGCGAAAAGGC
Molecule: unclassified non-coding RNA, 765 nt
Filed under: Hevea brasiliensis (rubber tree)
Lineage: Eukaryota; Viridiplantae; Streptophyta; Magnoliopsida; Malpighiales; Euphorbiaceae
Source: RNAcentral